Myotis davidii is the source of this 879-nucleotide long non-coding RNA. RefSeq lists it as uncharacterized. The record is from RefSeq and is a predicted model, not a curated record. Lineage: Eukaryota; Metazoa; Chordata; Mammalia; Chiroptera; Vespertilionidae. The transcript is spliced from 2 exons.
GACACUCUAUCCACUGAGCCAAACCAGCUAGGUUUGGUUCCUUACUUUUUGGUAAUUAACCUUUUUUUUAUUUCUCCCUGAGGUACAUUUUAUAUAUUUUCCACAGAAUAAACACCUCCUUUUACCGUGUCCACUUUUCACUAGCACAAUUUCAAUGGAUUGUAAUGUGAGCUUGCUGUUUAGAUGGAAGUGCCCUUCCUCCCCAACCCCCCAUACCACGUUUAUCUCGUACCCCCAGAGCCUAGAUGACUACUUGGUAAGGGCUCACAAGUAGGAAGUAGAUAAAGGGAAGUGGUGUUGAGAUAGAACCUCAUACCUUUACAGCAGUCCUGCUCCUCCAGGCGAUCAGCUUCUGCUCAACACCUUCCAGUGGAUUCCCAUGGCACUCAGAACAAAUCCAGUCCUUGCAUCAGCAUGUAGACCCUGCACGACCUGCUCUUCUCUCAUUCCCUACCCGCCCGCCCCACCGCCCAUCACUCUGUUGCAGCCACGCUGGUCUACCUGGUGCUCUCAAACCCUCCAAGUACUCUUGUCUUGCAGCCUAAUCACCCCCCACCCCCUCACCCCCCGCCAGGUUUCUGCUUUGUCAAGUAUCUUCCUGGAGAGGUCCCUAAGUACACUGUAUAAAAGAGCAAUCCUCCCCUCACCAGGACUCCAUGUUACCUUUACUGGGCUUAAUCACCAUCUACCAUAUAUAUUCUGUUUGUUUAUUGUCUGUCCUCUUAUACUAGACUGUAAGCACUAUAAAGGCAGAGAUUUGGCAUUUAUUAACUACUAUAUUGUACCUGUGUAUCUUACAUUGUUCCUGGCACACAGUAGAGCUUAAUCAAUAUUUUGUUGAAUGAAUAAAAAUCUGAUUAUUUGCCAUUUAACCAAAUA